Molecule: small nuclear RNA, 154 nt
Filed under: Nelumbo nucifera (sacred lotus)
Lineage: Eukaryota; Viridiplantae; Streptophyta; Magnoliopsida; Proteales; Nelumbonaceae
Description: U4 spliceosomal RNA
Rfam family: U4 spliceosomal RNA
About the family: U4 small nuclear RNA (U4 snRNA) is a component of the major U2-dependent spliceosome. The structure of U4 snRNA from yeast and human has been reported.
Source: Rfam by way of RNAcentral
AUCUUUGCGCUUGGGGCAAUGACGCAGUCGAUGAGGUAUUAACCGAGGCGCGUCAAUUGCUGGUUGAAAACUAUUUCCAAACCCCCUCUCAGGCCUGGGCUUGCCGCCCUGGCCUCUGAGAAUUUCUGGAAGGGUCCCCUAAUUGGGUAAGACC